AAUGCUUAGGAAUCUGCCUAUUAGUGGGGGACAACAUUCCGAAAGGAAUGCUAAUACCGCAUACGCCCUACGGGGGAAAGCAGGGGAUCUUCGGACCUUGCGCUAAUAGAUGAGCCUAAGUCAGAUUAGCUAGUUGGUGGGGUAAAGGCCUACCAAGGCGACGAUCUGUAGCGGGUCUGAGAGGAUGAUCCGCCACACUGGGACUGAGACACGGCCCAGACUCCUACGGGAGGCAGCAGUGGGGAAUAUUGGACAAUGGGCGAAAGCCUGAUCCAGCCAUGCCGCGUGUGUGAAGAAGGCCUUUUGGUUGUAAAGCACUUUAAGCGAGGAGGAGGCUACUUGGAUUAAUACUCUAGGAUAGUGGACGUUACUCGCAGAAUAAGCACCGGCUAACUCUGUGCCAGCAGCCGCGGUAAUACAGAGGGUGCGAGCGUUAAUCGGAUUUACUGGGCGUAAAGCGUGCGUAGGCGGCUUUUUAAGUCGGAUGUGAAAUCCCUGAGCUUAACUUAGGAAUUGCAUUCGAUACUGGGAAGCUAGAGUAUGGGAGAGGAUGGGUAGAAUUCCAGGUGUAGCGGUGAAAUGCGUAGAGAUCUGGAGG
Molecule: ribosomal RNA, 598 nt
Filed under: uncultured bacterium
Lineage: Bacteria
Description: bacterial SSU rRNA
Rfam family: Bacterial small subunit ribosomal RNA
Source: RNAcentral